Syngnathoides biaculeatus (alligator pipefish) is the source of this 2820-nucleotide long non-coding RNA. RefSeq lists it as uncharacterized. The transcript is spliced from 2 exons. NCBI's taxonomy places the organism in Eukaryota, Metazoa, Chordata, Actinopteri, Syngnathiformes, Syngnathidae. The record is from RefSeq and is a predicted model, not a curated record.
CUCAAGGUCCGCCUUCUUCUUCGCUUAUUUCCACCGGAUUCGUUUGCCCCGUCGCUGGUCUUUCUGGUUCGGCGGCGACCGUUUGGGUCUCGCUGGUGGGCUUGGAGGCUUGUUGCCUAGCAACAGGCUGCAAGCGGCUCGGGCGCGCUUUUCCGGAAGACGUUUGAUGGCGGAAAUGUAGGACGUCGGUCUCAAGGGGAAGUCUGCUCGUGAGACAGUGGGCGUGGCCGUCGGCUGACGCUCUUGCCUGAUUGGAACGCGAGUCGGCCGGCGACGCGAUGCAGUUCCCCAAGUACCAUUUGGAUGAAUGGAUGUAGGAGUAUUUUUGUCAAUAAGAAACGGUUUGAAGGGUGGAGGAAUGAAGUGAGAAUGUAUUUGUAUUUGCAGAAAUGCGAGGGGCGGAGUUAGAAGAGAGAGCGAAGCUGGAGGACUUGAACUCCGCGGGGUCAACGAGGUCAGGAAGUGAAGAAAAUGUUUCCAAUUCCGCGACGGGGACGGCCGCGGGAAACCGAGCCGACGUUUCCACGUUAAGAGCGCAGAACUGUGACUUGAACGGGUCACCUCGUCUCACAGGUCCGAGGUUUUGGAUCCGAAUAGCGAGGGUUCCUCCCGAGUUCCAAAAACAGGCCGCAAAUAUACAUACAUUUUAUUCAUAUUGAAUGGUUUUGUUUUGCUUUUUUUUUUGUGCCCUAUUUGGCGCUGGAGCGAUCCAAACGGAAAUCAUCUCCUGAUCGCACUCGGAAAGAACAACGACAAGAAAAAUGGCCGCCAGAGAGGUCAGCGAGCGUCCGUCAUCCGCGUCUGCCGUUUCGGCUUCCAAGAACUUGCUGGAGUCCAUUUUUGAAUGUACUUCGUUUGCUCUAUUCGACAUUCGCGUGCCGGUGAAAGGGAAAAUGGAUGACAAGUUACUCUUUUCCCUUUGCGAACGUCUCUCGCUUUUCGGCCGUUUUGCUUGCUUUUUCCUUCCAUCUGUCCUUCUUUCCCCUCUGCCGUCCGACGCUUGCUUUCAUUUCCUUCUUUUCUUCUGUUCCCCUGCGCUUCUGUCCAUCCGUCCUUUCUUCCAUCUGUUCUUCCUUCCUUUCAUUCCCUCGUCCCUGCGACGCUCGCCGGUCCAGACGGGUCAGGCGCUUGACGCGCAGGCCCCCGUGUCGAGGAGACGGUCGCCACGGCGACCGACGCUCUUGAACCGCAGCCGCACGAGCAUCUUCUUGGACGACCAUCUUGAUAAACGCUCUCGCCGGAGGUCUUCACGUCGCACGCGCUCACGAGCUGCACGGUGCGCCGCAUUCGACCCGCACGCUCUGCGCCGUGGCGACGGUCGCCAUGGCGACUGCCUUCUCUUCCGCUUUUAUGCCGGCGGUUGCGUCGGGAAUCCCUCGCGAUAAUUUUGGGCCGGUGGAAGUUUGAAAUCACUUACAAAAGACUGCAAAAGGCACUUUGCGGUGAUUAGCGAGUAGUCAGGAAUGAGGGAACAAUUUCUAGCGCGCAAAUCACGAUGAGGGUUUUUAGAAAUGCGUCAUGGGAUUUAUUUGAUUUAGUAGCGCACUGUACAAAUGCAAAAUGGAUCUUUUUGCACGUGUAAAACAAAGAUGAGCGAUCACAUUUGAAGGAUCACAUUAAGUCAUAUAUGACAAAUUCUAUUGACAGAUUUUUUUUUUCAUUCAUUUUAGGCGCAAAGUUUGAAGAGAAAAAAAUCCGCCAGUGGAACGAGUACAAAGUGACUUGAGAUUUUUUUCUUUUUAUUCUUGCAGAAAAUUUAGAUUGGGGGGGGGGGGAGAGCAUAUUAAUAUGUUUUGACUCAACAUAAGAUGAAGUGGCCAUUUUUGCAUUGUGGGAUACUUUGAGGCCACUGCAUCGGGAUCAGAACCUUCACUCCCUGCAACUUCCGUCGGCAGAAUACAAAAAGUGGCCACGAAUAUUGUAUCCAGGCUAAUAUUUUUAGAUUACUGUGCGGUACAUAUAAAGACGGUCUUUUGGAAGCUAACCACUUGUUGACCGUGCAAGAGAUUGAUUGAGCUAGCAGUCCAACAUUGACGCGUUUGCACGCCACCGAACGAGUCCGCGCCCAGUAGGGUCUUCUCCUGCAAAGGUGAACUAUGAUUCAUAUUCGUGCCAAAAUAGUCAAACCACCUGUUUUGUGAGAAUCUUUUUAGCACUAAUCUGAUUCCACAGAAGGACUGUCGUGUGAAUGCGGCUCGCAAGUCCUGUGUUGUCUUGACACGCUUCGGCCGCACGGGGGCAGCAGCGCGGCCAUGACGUUCACGAACCACCGGAAGAAGGCGAAGAAGGAGAAAAACCACCGCGAGACUCAGUGCGAGGAAGGCGACAUUAAAAUGUGCUCUUUCGGUCAACUUUGAGCUUCUUCGAGGUGACAUUUGUUUCAUUGCCGAGGCUCGACGUGUUUUUACUUGGAAUGGCGCAGGAUAAGAGAAGCUCGAGCCACGAGGUGUUAGCCGCAUAGCAGCUAACUCGCGUGGACCCGUCGCGGUUUUGUCAGCCCCCAGAAAAAGUUCCGUCCAAGGACAUCGACGAGAAGAAUGAAAGUUCGACUUGCCUGCCAGCUGCGAAGAGGCUUCCGAGAGGUUUUGGUGUUUGUUUGAAGAUAGUCCUUGGCCUGCGGUCACGUGAUGGGGUUCGACGUGCACGGUCUCCUCCGUCCAGCGGGUGGCGCUUUUCUCUCACCUUCACAGUGACGCAAAAUUGCAAUCAUGACAAGUUGGAACGGAGAUGAUGAGUGAAUACAAAUUAAUUGAUGUUUAUGUGUGUGUAUCUGUACUGACUGAACGAUCUAAUAAAACUUUGUCAACAUUUUAAAAGAAA